RNAcentral lists this long non-coding RNA (352 nucleotides) under Chrysemys picta bellii (western painted turtle). RNAcentral describes it as "lncRNA (ENSCPBG00000009589.1)". The record is from RNAcentral. Lineage: Eukaryota; Metazoa; Chordata; Testudines; Emydidae.
CGACCUUCUGGUUUCGAUUUAUCGCGUCUAGUCUGGCCGCGAUAAGUCGAACCCAGAAGUUCGAUUUCCAGCCGUCGAACUUGCCGGUAAGUGUAGCCAAGGCCUAAGCUUCAUUGAUGGCAGGGAAUGGCUUCCUCAAGUUAAGAUGUCAAAGCAGUGGCCCGCUAGGGGGGCAGCCUGAAGUGAAGAGGUGAAACGGCAUGAUGCAGAAAGAAGAGGAAGAUAUUUCUGUGUAUACUAUAUGUGUAUCAUUUUACUAGUAUUGCAUUUUUCCUGAGAAACUGAGGUCAGUUGGAGAUCUGUCCUAGUGCCAGGGCAUCAAUUGGCAAAAGACAAAGAGAACAGAAACACC